This 490-nucleotide ribosomal RNA is filed under the name uncultured bacterium. RNAcentral describes it as "partial 16S ribosomal RNA". It matches the Rfam family "Bacterial small subunit ribosomal RNA", at positions 30 to 507 of the family's 1533-position model. The record is from RNAcentral.
AUUGAACGCUGGCGGCAUGCUUUACACAUGCAAGUCGGACGGCAGCACAGAGAAGCUUGCUUCUUGGGUGGCGAGUGGCGAACGGGUGAGUAAUAUAUCGGAACGUACCGAGUAAUGGGGGAUAACUAAUCGAAAGAUUAGCUAAUACCGCAUAUUCUCUGAGGAGGAAAGCAGGGGACCUUCGGGCCUUGCGUUAUUCGAGCGGCCGAUAUCUGAUUAGCUAGUUGGUGGGGUAAAGGCCUACCAAGGCGACGAUCAGUAGCGGGUCUGAGAGGAUGAUCCGCCACCCUGGGACUGAGACACGGCCCAGACUCCUACGGGAGGCAGCAGUGGGGAAUUUUGGACAAUGGGCGCAAGCCUGAUCCAGCCAUGCCGCGUGUCUGAAGAAGGCCUUCGGGUUGUAAAGGACUUUUGUCAGGGAAGAAAAGGCUGUUGCUAAUACCGACAGCUGAUGACGGUACCUGAAGAAUAAGCACCGGCUAACUACGUG